CACUUGUUUCACAGAUGCUCACUUCAGAUUCAUUGUUGUUUUCUUCUCUUUUAGAAUCAUCGCUCAUUUUUUGUCGGAAAGGAGUGCGAUGAACACCCUCUUGCAAAUUAAAAUUGUAUGUGCGUGUUUACUGGUGGGUCUACAAAUCUAAUUCUUUCCAGUUCCAAAAACUGCUCUGACAAAUGACUGAUUCCAAAAUCAUCCAAGGCAUUGAACUGACAUGGAUUGUUGACAUGUUUCUUUAAACUGCGACGGAGAGAUACAGUUCUAGAUGGGAUGACUUUCAUCUGAAAUCUGAAGAACGCAAAGAGCCAGCUGUUGAAGGAGGAAGAAGUGGAAACAGCAGAUACAAAAGUCACGAUAUAGGAAAACCUUGCUGUGCUCAGAAAAGAAAGGCCACUGGGGCUGGAACAUAGUCACUGAAAAGACCAGUGAGAGGUCUUGAGCUACAAAUUUGGAAGCCACCAGCAGGCAGACAAUAUUUAAAGCUAUGGGAGCAGAUGAGAUGGGCCUAGGACAACUGAUGUUUAAAAGUAAAGAAGCCAGCAGAAGAGAUGGACAUAGAACAGUCAGAAAGAGUAUGAUGGUAAGAAAGCUAAGAGAUCAAAGUAUUUCCAGCAAAGAGUUAUCCCUGUACUAUGUUUUACUUCAAGGCCAACAAAAAAGAGAAGUGACCCCUGAAUUUGGUAACACGGAGGUUUUGGUGACCUUGACACACAGUGACAACAGAAUGGUGGGGAUGAAAGCCUGGUAAGAGUGAGUUCAAAUGUUAGGGGACGCUGAGGAAGGGAAGACAGUAAGUGCUCUGUUCUCUCUGGAAAAGUUCUGCUGUGAAUGGAAGCAGAGAGAUGAGAUGGAGGAAUGAGAUCAGGAGAGGUUCCAUUUAUUUUCUUUUCCUCUUAAGAUGAGAGAUACUGAAGCACAUUUGUAUGUAGCUAGAACGAUUCAGUAGAGGGAGGUAAAUGUUGGAGAAGGGUGCAAAGUCCUAGAGGAGAUGAAAAGAAGGGAAUCUGAUGCACAAGGGGAGGGACUGGCCUUGGAUAGGAGCAGAGACACUUCUGCCAAUGGCACAGGAAGGAAGACAGAGAACACAGUGUAGACACAGGAAGGUGUGUAGAUCUCUGUUAGGAAGACGAGUGGCCCAGUCUGAUUCCUUAAAAGUCAUUCCAAUUCAGUGCAGUUGUUUUAUGAAAUUUGAUGUACAUAUAAUAUGAAGACAUUAUAAUGAACAGGUUAAAACUGUUCAUCAGAAACAACUAGAAAUUUAAUCCUGUUAAAAGUUUUAAAUUUAUUAUCAAUAUAGCUAAUGUUCUAAAGCUAGUAUUAUUACUGAAGAUAAGUAAAGGAGGAUAUUUAACUACAGAGUGAUAUAAAAAUUAUUUAGAAGAGCCAUGAUAAAACUUAGGGAACAAAAUGCUAUUAGAAAUUACUUUCUGAUUAAUCCUUACAGGGUAAGUUAAUUAUUGGCAGGCAAGAAAAACAUUCUUUUUUUUUUGUGGUACGUGGGCCUCUCACUGUAGUGGCUUCUCCCGUUGCGGAGCACAGGCUCCAGACAUGCAGGCUCAGCGGCCAUGGCUCACGGGCCCAGCCGCUCCACGGCAUGUGGGAUCUUCCCGGACCGGGGCACGAACCUGUGUCCCCUGCAUUGGCAGGCGGACUCUCAACCACUGCGCCACCAGGGAAGCCCAAGAAAAACAUUCUUAUUAAAGCAUUUUAAGUUCUCCAGCACUGCAAAAUUGACUUGAUAAACAAGGAUGCACACGUAUACAAUGACGGUUGAGAAUGAGUGAUACAUACAGCGAGUACGUGGCAGAAAACAAACUCUGAUGUUUUAAAUGCUAGGAAUACUUUCACCCAGCAACUAACGACAUCUUUUAAUAAAUAUUCAAAAAUCACUGAUAAAUGUCAAAAGGCCUACAAUAACAGAAUUUUUUCACCACUGUUUUUGUGAUUAUCUCAUUGAGUACUCACUUGACACCACUCUGUGUGAUUUCAGCAAAAAUUUGGA
Orcinus orca (killer whale) is the source of this 2008-nucleotide long non-coding RNA. RefSeq lists it as uncharacterized. NCBI's taxonomy places the organism in Eukaryota, Metazoa, Chordata, Mammalia, Artiodactyla, Delphinidae. The record is from RefSeq and is a predicted model, not a curated record. The transcript has 4 exons.